This 460-nucleotide ribosomal RNA is filed under the name uncultured bacterium. Its description in RNAcentral is "partial 16S ribosomal RNA". It matches the Rfam family "Bacterial small subunit ribosomal RNA", at positions 338 to 795 of the family's 1533-position model. The record is from RNAcentral.
CCUACGGGAGGCAGCAGUGAGGAAUAUUGGUCAAUGGACGAGAGUCUGAACCAGCCAAGUAGCGUGAAGGAUGACUGCCCUAUGGGUUGUAAACUUCUUUUAUAUGGGAAUAAAAUGUUCCACGUGUGGGAUUUUGUAUGUACCAUAUGAAUAAGGAUCGGCUAACUCCGUGCCAGCAGCCGCGGUAAUACGGAGGAUCCGAGCGUUAUCCGGUUUUAUUGGGUUUAAAGGGAGCGUAGGUGGAUUGUUAAGUCAGUUGUGAAAGUUUGCGGCUCAACCGUAAAAUUGCAGUUGAAACUGGCAGUCUUGAGUACAGUAGAGGUGGGCGGAAUUCGUGGUGUAGCGGUGAAAUGCUUAGAUAUCACGAAGAACUCCGAUUGCGAAGGCAGCUCACUGGACUGCAACUGACACUGAGGCUCGAAAGCGUGGGUAGCAAACAGGAUUAGAUACCCUAGUAGUC